RNAcentral lists this ribosomal RNA (613 nucleotides) under uncultured organism. RNAcentral's name for it is "bacterial SSU rRNA". It matches the Rfam family "Bacterial small subunit ribosomal RNA", at positions 202 to 832 of the family's 1533-position model. The record is from RNAcentral.
UAAAGCUUUUGCGGUUUGGGAUGGGCCUGCGUCCUAUCAGGUAGUUGGUGAGGUAAAUGCUCACCAAGCCUAUGACGGGUAGCUGGUCUGAGAGGAUGGUCAGCCAGACUGGGACUGCGACACGGCCCAGACUCCUACGGGAGGCAGCAACUAGGAAUUGUGCGCAAUGGACGAAAGUCUGACGCCGCGACAUCGCGUGGAGGAUGAAGGUCUUCGGAUUGUAAACUCCUUUUCUUACCGAACAAGUUCUGAGUGUAGGUAAGGAAUAAGUGCCUGCUAACCACGUGCCAGAAGCAUCGGUAAUGCGUGGGGCACGAGCGUUAUCCGGAUUUACUGGGCGUAAAGAGAAGCGUAGGCGGCUCGAUAAGUUUGGUGUUAAAUCUUCCGGCUCAACCGGAAACAAGCACCGAAAACUAUCGAGAUUGAGUCGAGUAGGGAAGAGGGGAAUUCCUGGUGGAGCGGUUAAAUGCGUAGAUAUCAGGAGGAAUACCAAGGGCGAAGGCACCUCUUUGGACUCGUACUGACGCUGAGGCUCGAAAGCGUGGGUAGCAAAACGGAUUAGAUACCCGUGUAGUCCACGCCGUAAACGAUCCCUGUUAGAUGUAUGUUUUGU